This 519-nucleotide ribosomal RNA is filed under the name uncultured Gammaproteobacteria bacterium. Its description in RNAcentral is "bacterial SSU rRNA". It matches the Rfam family "Bacterial small subunit ribosomal RNA", at positions 68 to 540 of the family's 1533-position model. The record is from RNAcentral. Lineage: Bacteria; Pseudomonadati; Pseudomonadota; Gammaproteobacteria.
UUCGAUUAGAGGUGCUUGCACCUUUUGAGAGCGGCGGACGGGUGAGUAAUGCCUAGGAAUCUGCCUGGUAGUGGGGGAUAACGCUCGGAAACGGACGCUAAUACCGCAUACGUCCUACGGGAGAAAGCAGGGGACCUUCGGGCCUUGCGCUAUCAGAUGAGCCUAGGUCGGAUUAGCUAGUUGGUGGGGUAAUGGCUCACCAAGGCGACGAUCCGUAACUGGUCUGAGAGGAUGAUCAGUCACACUGGAACUGAGACACGGUCCAGACUCCUACGGGAGGCAGCAGUGGGGAAUAUUGGACAAUGGGCGAAAGCCUGAUCCAGCCAUGCCGCGUGUGUGAAGAAGGUCUUCGGAUUGUAAAGCACUUUAAGUUGGGAGGAAGGGCAUUAAAUUAAUACGUUGGUGUUUUGACGUUACCGACAGAAUAAGCACCGGCUAAUUCUGUGCAAGCAGCCGCGGUAAUACGAAUCACUAGUGAAUUCGCGGCCGCCUGCAGGUCGACCAUAUGGGAGAGCUCCC